GGAAGUGUGGCUCAGUGGUAGAAUGCUUGCCCAAUAUGCAAAAGUCCCUGGGUUCAAUCCCCAGCAUUACAA
Molecule: transfer RNA, 72 nt
Filed under: Mesocricetus auratus (golden hamster)
Lineage: Eukaryota; Metazoa; Chordata; Mammalia; Rodentia; Cricetidae
Rfam family: tRNA
About the family: Transfer RNA (tRNA) molecules are approximately 80 nucleotides in length. Their secondary structure includes four short double-helical elements and three loops (D, anti-codon, and T loops).
Source: Rfam by way of RNAcentral